GAUGAACGCUGGCGGCGUGCCUAAUACAUGCAAGUCGAGCGAACAGACGAGGAGCUUGCUCCUCUGACGUUAGCGGCGGACGGGUGAGUAACACGUGGAUAACCUACCUAUAAGACUGGGAUAACUUCGGGAAACCGGAGCUAAUACCGGAUAAUAUAUUGAACCGCAUGGUUCAAUAGUGAAAGACGGUUUUGCUGUCACUUAUAGAUGGAUCCGCGCCGCAUUAGCUAGUUGGUAAGGUAACGGCUUACCAAGGCAACGAUGCGUAGCCGACCUGAGAGGGUGAUCGGCAACACUGGAACUGAGACACGGUCCAGACUCCUACGGGAGGCAGCAGUAGGGAAUCUUCCGCAAUGGGCGAAAGCAUGACGGAGCAACGCCGCGUGAGUGAUGAAGGUCUUCGGAUCGUAAAACUCUGUUAUUAGGGAAGAACAAAUGUGUAAGUAACUAUGCACGUAUUGACGGUACCUAAUCAGAAAGCCACGGCUAACUACGUG
Molecule: ribosomal RNA, 497 nt
Filed under: uncultured bacterium
Lineage: Bacteria
Description: partial 16S ribosomal RNA
Rfam family: Bacterial small subunit ribosomal RNA
Source: RNAcentral